AUGGAGGCGCCGUUUGUCUACCUCCGCCCCACCGUCGAGGACGACGGCACCGGUGAGCAGGCUCUCAUGAAGGCCGCCCUCGACGGCAACCUCGGCCGCCUCAAACGUAUUGUAAAGAAACUUACCAAAAGAAAUGGCGACCUGUCGGCCAUUUUUUCUAUCAACACGAACGGAUGUAAUGUGUUGCAUCUCGCAGCAUGCGAAGGCCAUUUGGAGGUUUGCAGGUACCUAGUGGAGGAGCUUGGAGGAGAUGUAAAUGCUCCUGGGGGUGGAGAUGUAGCUGAAGGUGCGACUCCAUUUAUGUUGUCUGCUCAGUCUGGUCAUGUUUCUACUGUCAAGUAUUUUCUUGAUCAUGGUGGUGAUCUCGUGAAAGGACUUAACAAAGGACGGACAGUUCUCCACCAUGCUGUGUGUAUAGGAUGCUGCAAGGUGACAGAGUUCCUCCUGUCAAAAGGAGUGCCUGUUGACAUAGACUGUGGCCAUGGAACACCACUCUAUAUGGCUGCUAUAAAUGAGCAGGAUAAGACAGUGAAGAUUUUGUUGGACCACCAUGCAAAUCCUAGCAUCAUUAUCAGCGGUGCUAACAGUCCCCUUAUGAGUGCUCUUGUUUACCGUUCAUUGAAGUGCAUGAAGCUACUCAUUAAGUUGGGUAGGUUGCCAGUAGAGCUUGCUGCGAUACGCGAUUGCAUGGAAGAGGUUGAAAUGUUGUUUCCUGUGACUUCUCCAAUUCCAAAUGUCCCAAACUGGAGUAUUGAAGGAGUAAUUUCUCAUGCAAAAAUUGAAGAAAAGAAGCCAAUUGAGCAACGGCACCUUGAAAGAAGAAAAAGUUUGUUCAAGUCACAUGCUGAUAAGGCAUUCAAGCAGAAGGACUAUAAGAUGGCAACAAAGUUCUAUGAUUUGGCAAUAGAGCAUGCAGAGAGUGCAACACUGUAUGCAAACAGGAGUCUUUGUAAACUGCUCAUGGAUGAUGGUGAAGGUGCUUUGUCAGAUGCUCUCAUGUGCAGAAUGCUGCGACCUGAUUGGGCAAAAGCUUGCUACCAUCAAGGUGCAGCUCACAUGCUACUCAAGGAGUAUAAACAAGCCUGUGAUGCUCUCUUGGACGCACAAAAUUUGGAUCCUGGGAAUGCCGAAAUCGAGGGUGAACUACGGAAGGCUAGGGAACUCAUGAAGAACCCUCCGGGCAAAGGCGAGCAGUGA
RNAcentral lists this ribosomal RNA (1197 nucleotides) under Triticum aestivum (bread wheat). RNAcentral's name for it is "partial small subunit ribosomal RNA". The record is from RNAcentral. Lineage: Eukaryota; Viridiplantae; Streptophyta; Magnoliopsida; Poales; Poaceae.